Molecule: non-coding RNA, 92 nt
Organism: Mycena leptocephala
Lineage: Eukaryota; Fungi; Basidiomycota; Agaricomycetes; Agaricales; Mycenaceae
Source: the annotation of a GenBank genome assembly
GCGGACGUGGUGCACGGUGCACUGCUGCACUCACUCAGUUGACCCUGUACAGGUUUGGGCAGCAAUCCGGGGUUCGACUCCCCGCGUCCGCA